RNAcentral lists this long non-coding RNA (1518 nucleotides) under Dromaius novaehollandiae (emu). RNAcentral's name for it is "lncRNA (ENSDNVG00000006698.1)". Lineage: Eukaryota; Metazoa; Chordata; Aves; Casuariiformes; Dromaiidae. The record is from RNAcentral.
CGUGCUCCUGGCUAGACCUUGUGCCCCACAGCCAGCUCAAACAGAAAUGCCAUGUUUAUUGUCAACAAUCAGCUUUACAAAAGAAAUUGUCCCGAUACGCCACGUUUACAUGCACGCACACGCACAGGCGUGCAUCAGGGGCCCGUUUCACGAAUGUACAAAAGACAGCGCGAGCGAGCGAGCGGCGCAUGGCCACACUGCUGCAGUACUGCUUCUUGCUCCUCUUAGCACCGGGCUGCUCCUGCCUGGCCACGGGGAGCAGCCUCACUCCUUCGAGGGUGGGAAGGAGAAAACAAAUAAMCCCCCCCCCAACCCCCAAACAACCAGCCAUGCUAGAGCUGAGCCAAGAGGGGCCACGGGUACCACGAAGGUCUGCGAGAAACAGCAGCAUCCUGGCAACAGGACUACUAGCUAUUUUUCACAGCAUCGCCUCCCUCUGCCUCCAAAGCCUGACUCCCCUCAGGGCAGAAGUGCCGCGUACAGGCUACGGAGGCACAGGAAUAAGCUCGGGGGAGGAUCUGCCCUCGUGAAUCCUCCCUUCGCCUCCCUGGCAGGAGGAGGGCGCCCUGGCCCCACGGUGCCCAUUCCUCCUCUGGCCGGGCGGCAAAGGCUCCCUUUCACCCUCUGCAUUAAGUGGAAAGGCAACGAGAUGAUUUUUUUUUUUUUCUUUUUUCAAAAUCUCCUUAACACCUUUCUAGCAGACAAGAUGAGUCAUGCUAAAAGCUUUCAAGCUUUCUCUGAGACACCCUGCCUUGAGACAAAAGGACGAUCACCUAAUCUCAAGGUCCUUCGCAGCCCUGCUCUGGGGCUGUUAUACCAAGAAAACCCAAACAAACCAAAAAAAAAAAAAACCAUGAAAAACUCACAAGGCUCCUCUUCAGCUGUAAAAGCGCUGGGUUUAGCUCUCUGCAUCACCAGACGCUGACUCCACUGCUCCGUCUGCUCCUCUCCCUCCACGUGGGAGAAGGUGGCAAUGGCUCUUGGCAGGGUUUGAUCUGUUUUUCCUCUCUGUUUUGGCUGUAAAGGCAGCUACUGAAAUGGCCUCGGCGGGCUGGGACGUGCGCAGUGCUCCUGGCCACCUCAGCCAGCAGGCUGCAGGUGAGGAGGGCCGCAGUGCCUGAUACUCUCAUUUUUUCAUGCCAGUGCCACGACAGCUGACAAACAUCCACACGCAGGUUUGUGUUUAUGACACUCGGACGAACCAGCAGCGUUCACUGACUCCCUGGCCAUGGACGUUUUCAAUUAGAUAUAUACAGCCCUAGUGAACACGAGCUUCUUAACAGGAUUGCCAUCAGCUUUGCCACCCAUGGCAGGAGCAGUCCCACUUGCUUUCCCCAGGGAAGGAAGCUAUACGCAUUUGAAAAAUGGGGCAGUAGAAGGAGAGCUGAAGGGGAAGGUAGGGAAUAUGCUGAUGGCUUCUGUUGAACAGUUCACGGCUAAGCCUUUAGGCUUAUUUGAAGUACAGGCUCACAAAACUGAAUAUCAGGGCAUUAAAAAUAAAUAAAUAAAUAAAUGGCA